This 534-nucleotide long non-coding RNA is filed under the name Nicotiana benthamiana. RNAcentral's name for it is "long non-coding RNA (NBEN_LNC016318)". Lineage: Eukaryota; Viridiplantae; Streptophyta; Magnoliopsida; Solanales; Solanaceae. The record is from RNAcentral.
UUUGGGGAAAUUCUAGUACUGAUUGGCUCACUAUUCUUUCUACAAACCCAGUGAAGCUUUAUAAAACCGCGCAAAGCGCGGGUAAAUUCACUAGUGGUUGGAGUAAAUUUGGUGUUACACCAUUUUGAUGUGAAAUUUGGUGCAAGAAAUGGUGCUAGCCUUGGAGAUGGCCUUAGCAGGAUACAAAUUGGCUUUAUUAUCCUAGCUUUGUUGGAAUGUGAAGAAACAACUAUCAAAGCAAACAAUACCUGGCCAAGGGUAAAGGUUGUGUAUGGGUCAAAAAUAAAUUAGAGAGAUUCGGCACGGGGAGACAUACGGCCGAGGUCGGACACUCAUCCGUAAGGUGAAGGUUUGACAGGCCGUGGUCGGACAAUCAUCAAUAAGGCCAGGGUCAGACAGUCAUAAUUAAGGUCGAUGUCAGACACUCAUCAAUAAGGCCGAGACCAGAGAGUGGUGAAAUAACUAGUUUGCUUCGAAAUACCAAAAGGGAAUAUUCUACCUCUAAGUUGUACCUUUUUUUAGGAUUUUUAAUAG